UAGGGAAUCUUCGGCAAUGGACGAAAGUCUGACCGAGCAACGCCGCGUGAGUGAAGAAGGUUUUCGGAUCGUAAAACUCUGUUGUUAGAGAAGAACAAGGACGUUAGUAACUGAACGUCCCCUGACGGUAUCUAACCAGAAAGCCACGGCUAACUACGUGCCAGCAGCCGCGGUAAUACGUAGGUGGCAAGCGUUGUCCGGAUUUAUUGGGCGUAAAGCGAGCGCAGGCGGUUUCUUAAGUCUGAUGUGAAAGCCCCCGGCUCAACCGGGGAGGGUCAUUGGAAACUGGGAGACUUGAGUGCAGAAGAGGAGAGUGGAAUUCAAUGUGUAGCGGUGAAAUGCGUAGAUAUAUGGAGGAACACCAGGGGCGAAGGCGGCUCUCUGGUCUGUAACUGACGCUGAGGCUCGAAAGCGUGGGGAGCAAACAGG
This 429-nucleotide ribosomal RNA is filed under the name Gemmatimonadota bacterium. Its description in RNAcentral is "Gemmatimonadetes bacterium partial 16S ribosomal RNA". It matches the Rfam family "Bacterial small subunit ribosomal RNA", at positions 355 to 776 of the family's 1533-position model. Lineage: Bacteria; Pseudomonadati; Gemmatimonadota. The record is from RNAcentral.